GACAGAGGGUGCAAACGUUGCUCGGAAUCAUUGGGCGUAAAGCGCGUGUAGGCGGUCCGGUAAGUCUGCUGUGAAAGUCGGGGGCUCAACCCUCGAAUGCCGGUGGAUACUGUCGGGCUAGAGUCCGGAAGAGGCGAGUGGAAUUCCUGGUGUAGCGGUGAAAUGCGCAGAUAUCAGGAGGAACACCGGUGGCGAAGGCGGGACUCUGGGCCGAUACUGACGCUGAGGAGCGAAAGCGUGGGGAGCAAACAGG
Molecule: ribosomal RNA, 253 nt
Filed under: uncultured bacterium
Lineage: Bacteria
Description: partial 16S ribosomal RNA
Rfam family: Bacterial small subunit ribosomal RNA
Source: RNAcentral